UGGCGACCAUAGCGUUGUGGACCCACCUGAUCCCAUGCCGAACUCAGAAGUGAAACGCAAUAGCGCCGAUGGUAGUGUGGGGCUUCCCCAUGUGAGAGUAGGACAUCGCCAGGCU
Molecule: ribosomal RNA, 115 nt
Filed under: Vibrio sp. THAF64
Lineage: Bacteria; Pseudomonadati; Pseudomonadota; Gammaproteobacteria; Vibrionales; Vibrionaceae
Also listed under: 2 other names
Source: RNAcentral